CCUACGUGUGGCAGCAGUGGGGAAUAUUGCACAAUGGGGGAAACCCUGAUGCAGCAACGCCGCGUGGGUGAAGGAGCGUUUCGGCGCGUAAAGCCCUGCCAGCGGGGAAGAAGAAAGACGGUACCCGACCAAGAAGCCCCGGCUAACUACGUGCCAGCAGCCGCGGUAAUACGUAGGGGGCGACCGUUAUCCGGAAUUACUGGGUGGAAAGGGAGCGUAGACGGCGAGGUAAGCCUGAAGUGGAAGCCCGCGGCCCAACCGCGGAACUGCUUGGGAAACUGUUUUGCUGGAGGAUGGGAGGGGUAAGCGGAAGUCCUGGUGUAGCGGGGAAAUGCGUAGAUAUCAGGAGGAAAACCGGUGGCGAAGGAGGAUUACUGGACCAUAACUGACGUUGAGGCUCGAAAGCGUGGGGAGCGAACAGGAUUAGAUAACCCAGUAGUC
Molecule: ribosomal RNA, 441 nt
Filed under: uncultured bacterium
Lineage: Bacteria
Description: partial 16S ribosomal RNA
Rfam family: Bacterial small subunit ribosomal RNA
Source: RNAcentral